GCCCUUCCCGGCCUCGCCCGCACUCCCAGCGCCCACGGAGGCGGCCAGCCUUCUCCCCAGAGACCGUCUGGGAGUCGCUCAAGGCUUUCCAUGACUGGCGGGGAUGCGCCGCUGCCCCAAGCCCCGCCACGUUCUCCAUCCAGCAGCCGGCCUGGUGCUCCCUGAAUAGGGACCACCCAUGCCAGAUCAUCCCCCUCCCUUUGCCUGGCUUCAGUCCGACGCGAGGCCGCUGGGGGGCAAGCGCUGUGGUUGAGAAAAGCAAAGAAAAAAGAAAAAUCCACCAAGUUUAGGGGGUGAAGGAGCACUGUAUAUAUCUGGAUUUAAAAAAAGCAAUUCCUCCCACCCACAACCAUCGGAAACACACCCUCGUGUCCACUGCCCCUCGCCCGUAUCUCAUGAACCAGAAGGGCAAAUACGCCACAACUUUCUCUUUGUCCCACGUCUGUCCCCUGACGCCAUCUGCCCACGUCUCUACGUGACGCAGCUUCUCUCCGUCGAAAACCCCAGUCGGGCAGAUGCGUUGGCGAGUGACGCCUCUUCGGAACCGGGGUCAGGAGGAAGACGCCUCUGAGAGCGCUUCAAAAACCCAGCGGGUGAGCGGGACCCGCUGUGCCCAACCGGCCGCGCCCCCGUCCCGACCACGUGCGCGCGCGCGGGGCUCGCUCUCAAUGACCCUCUGAGCAGAUGAGGAAAGAGGCUCCAGUGCAGCCUAGAUGAUAUGAAAGGCCUCGCUGGGAAGACAGUACAACAGAUCCUUAAACAAGUAAAGAAGACAGACUUGGGUAUCAAGCAACAUGCCUGGCUGCUUUCUUCUGGGCUUUGUAAUUUGCCCUUCUUCUAUGAAUUAACUCAUCUGACCAAGGCAUGAGUAGCCAGAGUCCUCAGUUAACUUCCACGUAGCUUGACAAGAGGGACAGAGACAAGGACCAAGCCCACAGUCUAGAAAGGGAAUGAAUGUGUUUAUAAUAGGAUGACUGGUGUUUGUGAUAGAAGAGAUGUUCCAUUG
RNAcentral lists this long non-coding RNA (1006 nucleotides) under Equus caballus (horse). RNAcentral describes it as "lncRNA (ENSECAG00000050919.1)". Lineage: Eukaryota; Metazoa; Chordata; Mammalia; Perissodactyla; Equidae. The record is from RNAcentral.